This 382-nucleotide ribosomal RNA is filed under the name uncultured eukaryote. RNAcentral describes it as "partial 18S ribosomal RNA". It matches the Rfam family "Eukaryotic small subunit ribosomal RNA", at positions 592 to 976 of the family's 1831-position model. The record is from RNAcentral.
UGUAAGCGUAUACCAAAGUUGUUGCAGUUAAAACGCUCGUAGUCGGAAUUUGGCAGUUCCGGAUGUGUGCACGUCGUGUGCGCACUUCGCGGGGAUUGCUUUUGUGGUCUUGCGUAGGAGGAGGCACUUUUAUUAGUGAACGUCCUCACGCAACCACUUUUUACUGUGAGAAAAUCAGAGUGCUCAAAGCAGGCAUUUGCCGUGAAUGUAUUAGCAUGGAAUAAUAGAAUAGGACUUGGUUCUAUUUUGUUGGUUUGUUGGGACUGAGUAAUGAUUAAGAGGGACAGUUGGGGGCAUUUGUAUUUCGGUGCUAGAGGUGAAAUUCUUAGAUUACCGAAAGACAAACUGCUGCGAAAGCGUCUGCCAAGGAUGUUUUCAUUGA